Molecule: ribosomal RNA, 246 nt
Filed under: uncultured bacterium
Lineage: Bacteria
Description: partial 16S ribosomal RNA
Rfam family: Bacterial small subunit ribosomal RNA
Source: RNAcentral
UACAGGGGGUGCAAACGUUGCUCGGAAUCAUUGGGCGUAAAGCGCACGUAGGCGGUUCGUUAUGUCGGAUGUGAAAGCCCUUGGCUUAACCGAGGAAGUGCAUCCGAAACUGGCGAGCUAGAGUACGAAAGAGGAUCGCGGAAUUCCCGGUGUAGAGGUGAAAUUCGUAGAUAUCAGGAGGAACACCAGUGGCGAAGGCGGCGUCUGGGGAAGAUACUGACGGUGAGGUGCGAAAGCGUGGGGGAG